This 396-nucleotide ribosomal RNA is filed under the name uncultured bacterium. RNAcentral's name for it is "bacterial SSU rRNA". It matches the Rfam family "Bacterial small subunit ribosomal RNA", at positions 28 to 428 of the family's 1533-position model. The record is from RNAcentral.
GACGAACGCUGGCGGCGUGCUUAACACAUGCAAGUCGAGCGGUAAGGCCCUUUCGGGGGUACACGAGCGGCGAACGGGUGAGUAACACGUGGGUGACCUGCCCUCAGCUCUGGGAUAAGCCUGGGAAACUGGGUCUAAUACCGGAUAUGACCCCAUGACGCAUGUCGUGGGGUGGAAAGCCUUGUGCGGCUGAGGAUGGGCCCGCGGCCUAUCAGCUUGUUGGUGGGGUGAUGGCCUACCAAGGCGACGACGGGUAGCCGGCCUGAGAGGGCGACCGGCCACACUGGGACUGAGACACGGCCCAGACUCCUACGGGAGGCAGCAGUGGGGAAUCUUGCGCAAUGGGCGAAAGCCUGACGCAGCGACGCCGCGUGAGGGAUGACGGCCUGGUUGUAA